This 700-nucleotide ribosomal RNA is filed under the name uncultured bacterium. RNAcentral's name for it is "bacterial SSU rRNA". It matches the Rfam family "Bacterial small subunit ribosomal RNA", at positions 80 to 776 of the family's 1533-position model. The record is from RNAcentral.
UUCGGGGCAAGUAGAGCGGCGGACGGGUGAGUAAUGCUUGGGAAUCUACCUAGUAGUGGGGGAUAACCUGUGGAAACGCAGGCUAAUACCGCAUACGUCCUACGGGAGAAAGCAGGGGAUCUUCGGACCUUGCGCUAUUGGAUGAGCCCAAGUCGGAUUAGCUAGUUGGUGGGGUAAUGGCUCACCAAGGCGACGAUCCGUAGCUGGUCUGAGAGGAUGAUCGGCCACACUGGGACUGAGACACGGCCCAGACUCCUACGGGAGGCAGCAGUGGGGAAUAUUGGACAAUGGGCGAAAGCCUGAUCCAGCCAUGCCGCGUGUGUGAAGAAGGCUCUAGGGUUGUAAAGCACUUUCAGUAGGGAGGAAUGGUUGUUGAUUAAUACUCAGCAAUUUUGACGUUACUUACAGAAGAAGCACCGGCAAACUCCGUGCCAGCAGCCGCGGUAAUACGGAGGGUGCGAGCGUUAAUCGGAAUUACUGGGCGUAAAGCGCGCGUAGGUGGUUUGAUAAGCUAGCUGUGAAAGCCCUGGGCUCAACCUGGGAACUGCAGUUAGAACUGUCUGACUAGAGUACAGUAGAGGGUGGCGGAAUUUCCUGUGUAGCGGUGAAAUGCGUAGAUAUAGGAAGGAACAUCAGUGGCGAAGGCGGCCACCUGGACUGAUACUGACACUGAGGUGCGAAAGCGUGGGGAGCAAACAGA